Molecule: long non-coding RNA, 456 nt
Filed under: Mytilus galloprovincialis (Mediterranean mussel)
Lineage: Eukaryota; Metazoa; Mollusca; Bivalvia; Mytilida; Mytilidae
Source: RNAcentral
GGGCUCUGUAGGGCUGAGACUAAAGAUCAUUAUAGGCUAAUAAACACAAAAGACAUACUGUGUUUUUUCUUACGCGAUAUACUGAACAUUAUAUUAGAUGUUUUAACGUGCAGAACUUUACUUUUUUUAAUUUCGGGCCAAAGUAAUACGGGAUUCAGGAAAGAAUGCUUUAUUUUGUCGACAUUCAGAUGACACCCCUUCUAACCCUUUCGUACGAGGGGACAUUAACCCCGCCACAUAUUCUAUUCUCUAUUCUGUUGUCUCUUUGACGUAUACUCCACUUUAACUUUUAUACAAAUUUUAAAAGCAAUACUACAUUUCCUUUGUCAAUUUGCUAUGUAUAUAUUUAUGGCUCUGUAACAUAUUAGAUGAAACAAUAUAAUGUAUAUGAAGCAACAAUCAGUUGAUAUAAAACACAUAUAAGGCGAGAUGCUACUAAAGCUUCACGUGGCGUAG